AUUGAAAUAUAGUCACUUUACUCAACAAUGGAGAUUUUCAUUGCCAGAGAAAUCAUCAUUAGUGUAGCCACAGUGCUGCUUGAGUGUUCACCACCUGUUGAGUCAGCAGAUGCCCUUCGCUUACUUCUGUGUAAGAUGUGAAAGUCAUGUCAAAGUCAUGACUUAGAAAAUUAUGUUCUGUUUUCUAUUUCCUUUAUACUUUGAAAUGUAGUAACAUCUCAGUGAGAUUCUUGAAAGUCUAAGCUAGUCUUGACUUAGGUUAUGGUCUAACCUAGAGCCUGAUGCCAAGAGAAUUCAGUAAAGA
Molecule: long non-coding RNA, 304 nt
Filed under: Bos taurus (domestic cattle)
Lineage: Eukaryota; Metazoa; Chordata; Mammalia; Artiodactyla; Bovidae
Description: long non-coding RNA NONBTAT019469
Source: RNAcentral